UACGUAGGGUGCGAGCGUUGUCCGGAAUUAUUGGGCGUAAAGGGCUCGUAGGCGGUUUGUCGCGUCGGGAGUGAAAACCAGGUGCCUUAACACCUGGCUUGCUUUCGAUACGGGCAGACUAGAGGUAUGCAGGGGAGAACGGAAUUCCUGGUGUAGCGGUGAAAUGCGCAGAUAUCAGGAGGAACACCGGUGGCGAAGGCGGUUCUCUGGGCAUGACCUGACGCUGAGACGCGAAAGCCAGGGGAGCGAACGGG
Molecule: ribosomal RNA, 254 nt
Filed under: uncultured bacterium
Lineage: Bacteria
Description: partial 16S ribosomal RNA
Rfam family: Bacterial small subunit ribosomal RNA
Source: RNAcentral